RNAcentral lists this ribosomal RNA (253 nucleotides) under uncultured bacterium. Its description in RNAcentral is "partial 16S ribosomal RNA". It matches the Rfam family "Bacterial small subunit ribosomal RNA", at positions 524 to 776 of the family's 1533-position model. The record is from RNAcentral.
UACGAAGGGGGCUAGCGUUGCUCGGAAUCACUGGGCGUAAAGGGCGCGUAGGCGGAUCUUUAAGUCGGGGGUGAAAGCCUGUGGCUCAACCACAGAAUUGCCUUCGAUACUGGGGAUCUCGAGACCGGAAGAGGUGAGUGGAACUGCGAGUGUAAAGGUGAAAUUCGUAGAUAUUCGCAAGAACACCAGUGGCGAAGGCGGCUCACUGGUCCGGUUCUGACGCUGAGGCGCGAAAGCGUGGGGAGCAAACAGG